UACGGAGGAUCCAAGCGUUAUCCGGAUUCACUGGGUUUAAAGGGUGCGUAGGUGGAUUGCCAAGUCCGUGGUGAAAUCUCCGAGCUUAACUCGGAAACUGCCGUGGAUACUGGUAGUCUUGAAUAUCGUGGAGGUCAGCGGAAUAUGUCAUGUAGCGGUGAAAUGCUUAGAUAUGACAUGGAACACCAAUUGCGAAGGCAGCUGACUACGCGUAUAUUGACACUCAGGCACGAAAGCGUGGGGAUCAAACAGG
This 253-nucleotide ribosomal RNA is filed under the name uncultured bacterium. RNAcentral's name for it is "partial 16S ribosomal RNA". It matches the Rfam family "Bacterial small subunit ribosomal RNA", at positions 524 to 776 of the family's 1533-position model. The record is from RNAcentral.